AUUGAACGCUGGCGGAAUGCCUUACACAUGCAAGUCGAACGGCAGCACGGACUUCGGUCUGGUGGUGAGUGGCGAACGGGUGAGUAAUGUAUCGGAACGUGCCCAGUCGUGGGGGAUAACGUAGUGAAAAUUACGCUAAUACCGCAUACGAGCUAUGGAUGAAAGCGGGGGAUCGCAAGACCUCGCGCGAUUGGAGCGGCCGAUAUCAGAUUAGGUAGUUGGUGGGGUAAAGGCCCACCAAGCAAACGAUCUGUAGCUGGUCUGAGAGGACGACCAGCCACACUGGAACUGAGACACGGUCCAGACUCCUACGGGAGGCAGCAGUGGGGAAUUUUGGACAAUGGGCGAAAGCCUGAUCCAGCCAUUCCGCGUGCAGGAUGAAGGCCCUCGGGUUGUAAACUGCUUUUGUACAGAACGAAAAGGUUUCUACUAAUACUAGGAGCUCAUGACGGUACUGUAAGAAUAAGCACCGGCUAACUACGUGCCAGCCGCCGCAGUAA
RNAcentral lists this ribosomal RNA (500 nucleotides) under uncultured bacterium. Its description in RNAcentral is "partial 16S ribosomal RNA". It matches the Rfam family "Bacterial small subunit ribosomal RNA", at positions 30 to 523 of the family's 1533-position model. The record is from RNAcentral.